Molecule: ribosomal RNA, 207 nt
Filed under: uncultured bacterium
Lineage: Bacteria
Description: partial 16S ribosomal RNA
Rfam family: Bacterial small subunit ribosomal RNA
Source: RNAcentral
GGACUGUGGUCUGCAACCCGACCACACGAAGCUGGAAUCGCUAGUAAUCGCGAAUCAGAAUGUCGCGGUGAAUACGUUCCCGGGUCUUGUACACACCGCCCGUCACACCAUGGGAGUCAGCAACGCCCGAAGUCAGUGACCUAACCUUAUAGGGAGGAGCUGCCGAAGGCGGGGCCGGUAACUGGGGUGAAGUCGUAACAAGGUAGC